This 466-nucleotide ribosomal RNA is filed under the name uncultured bacterium. Its description in RNAcentral is "partial 16S ribosomal RNA". It matches the Rfam family "Bacterial small subunit ribosomal RNA", at positions 28 to 507 of the family's 1533-position model. The record is from RNAcentral.
GACGAACGCUGGCGGCGUGCUUAACACAUGCAAGUCGAACGGAAAGGCCCUGCUUGCAGGGUACUCGAGUGGCGAACGGGUGAGUAACACGUGGGUGAUCUGCCCUGCACUUCGGGAUAAGCCUGGGAAACUGGGUCUAAUACCGGAUAGGAGCCAUUUUUAUUGUGAUGGUUGGAAAGUUUUUUUCGGUGUAGGAUGAGCUCGCGGCCUAUCAGCUUGUUGGUGGGGUAAUGGCCUACCAAGGCGGCGACGGGUAGCCGGCCUGAGAGGGUGGACGGCCACAGUGGGACUGAGAUACGGCCCAGACUCCUACGGGAGGCAGCAGUGGGGAAUAUUGCACAAUGGGCGCAAGCCUGAUGCAGCGACGCCGCGGGGGGGAUGACGGCCUUCGGGUUGUAAACUCCUUUCGCUAGGGACGAAGCUUUUUGUGACGGUACCUAGAGAAGAAGCACCGGCUAACUACGUG